Molecule: ribosomal RNA, 710 nt
Filed under: Vibrio alginolyticus
Lineage: Bacteria; Pseudomonadati; Pseudomonadota; Gammaproteobacteria; Vibrionales; Vibrionaceae
Description: partial 16S ribosomal RNA
Rfam family: Bacterial small subunit ribosomal RNA
Source: RNAcentral
AUAACGGCGUCGWSGGCGGACGGGUGAGUAAKGCCUAGGAAAUUGCCCUGAUGUGGGGGAUAACCAUUGGAAACGAUGGCUAAUACCGCAUGAUGCCUACGGSCAAAGAGGGGGACCUUCGGGCCUCUCGCGUCAGGAUAUGCCUWGGUGGGAUUAGCUAGUUGGUGAGGUAAGGGCUCACCWAGGCGACGAUCCCUAGCUGGUCUGAGAGGAUGAUCAGCCACACUGGAACUGAGACACGGUCCAGACUCCUACGGGAGGCAGCAGUGGGGAAUAUUGCACAAUGGGCGCAAGUGAUGCAGCCAUGCCGCGUGURUGAAGAAGGCCUUCGGGUUGUAAAGYACUUUCAGUCGUGAGGAAGGURGUGUAGUUAAUAGCUGCAUURUUUGACGKUAGCGACAGAAGAAGCACCGGCUAACUCCGUGCCAGCAGCCGCGGUAAUACGGAGGGUGCGAGCGUUAAUCGGAAUUACUGGGCGUAAAGCGCAUGAGGYGGUUUGUUAAGUCAGAUGUGAAAGCCCGSGGCUCAACCUCGGAAUAGCAUUUGAAACUGGSAGACUAGAGUACUGUAGAGGGGGKAGAAUUUCAGGUGUAGCGGUGAAAUGCSUAGAGAUCUGAAGGAAUACCGGUGGCGAAGSGGCCCCCUGGACAGAUACUGACACUCAGAUGCKAUAGGYGGGGAGCAAACAGGAUUAGAUACCCUGGUAGUCC